AACCUUAUCAUUUAGAGGAAGGAGAAGUCGUAACAAGGUUUCCGUAGGUGAACCUGCGGAAGGAUCAUUGUCGAAACCUGCCUAGCAGAACGACCCGCGAACCCGUUCACCAAUGCUCGGGGGGGCGGGGGGCUCUUCUGCCCCGCGCCCUCCCGCGCGCCCGGGGCCGCGGCGCAACCGCGCGCUCCGGGCGCCCCUAACGAACCCCGGCGCAAGUCGCGCCAAGGAAAACGCAAAGAAAGAGCGUGCUCCAACGGGCCCGGAGACGGUGCCUUCCGGUGGAGCUGCGCGAUCUUCGACAAGUCUAAACGACUCUCGGCAACGGAUAUCUCGGCUCUCGCAUCGAUGAAGAACGUAGCGAAAUGCGAUACUUGGUGUGAAUUGCAGAAUCCCGUGAACCAUCGAGUCUUUGAACGCAAGUUGCGCCCGAAGCCGUCAGGUUGAGGGCACGUCUGCCUGGGCGUCACACACCGUUGCCCCCCCAGACCCGGUCGUCCCCUCCGGGGGCGCCGAGAGACGGGGGGCGGAAGAUGGCCUCCCGCGAGCGAUCGCGCUCGCGGUUGGCCCAAAAAUCUGUCCUCGGCUGCGAGCGCCGCGGCAUUCGGUGGUUGUCGACUACUCGGUUGCCCCGCCGCGCGCGCUGCGUCUGUGCCUUGCGACCCCCCACGGAGGGACCCCAUCGCGUCUCGAAGGAUUCGCUUCCAACGCGACCCCAGGUCAGGCGGGGCUACCCGCUGAGUUUAAGCAUAUCAAUAA
This 756-nucleotide ribosomal RNA is filed under the name Celtis schippii. Its description in RNAcentral is "eukaryotic LSU rRNA". The stretch from base 311 to 466 matches the Rfam family "5.8S ribosomal RNA". Lineage: Eukaryota; Viridiplantae; Streptophyta; Magnoliopsida; Rosales; Cannabaceae. The record is from RNAcentral.